UCGGAUAUGGUGUAACGGCUAACAUUGCCGCCUCUCACCGUUAGGUAGACCGCGGCAGCUCGGGGUUCGAUUCCCCGUAUCCGAA
Molecule: non-coding RNA, 85 nt
Organism: Pleurotus pulmonarius
Lineage: Eukaryota; Fungi; Basidiomycota; Agaricomycetes; Agaricales; Pleurotaceae
Source: the annotation of a GenBank genome assembly